Ovis aries (sheep) is the source of this 52-nucleotide microRNA precursor. It matches the Rfam family "mir-1302 microRNA precursor family". The record is from Rfam. NCBI's taxonomy places the organism in Eukaryota, Metazoa, Chordata, Mammalia, Artiodactyla, Bovidae.
UUUUAAGUAUAAGUAUAUCCCAUGCAACAUGUGGGAUAUACUUAUACUAAAA